GGGUGAUUAGCUCAGUUGGUUAGAGCGUUUGCUCGACACGCAAAAGGUCAGUGGUUCGAACCCACUAUCACCCA
RNAcentral lists this transfer RNA (74 nucleotides) under Candidatus Moranbacteria bacterium RIFOXYA1_FULL_44_7. RNAcentral's name for it is "tRNA-Val". It matches the Rfam family "tRNA". Rfam says of the family: Transfer RNA (tRNA) molecules are approximately 80 nucleotides in length. Their secondary structure includes four short double-helical elements and three loops (D, anti-codon, and T loops). The record is from RNAcentral. Lineage: Bacteria; Candidatus Moraniibacteriota. RNAcentral also lists the same sequence under 3 other names.